This 425-nucleotide long non-coding RNA is filed under the name Brassica napus (rape). Its description in RNAcentral is "long non-coding RNA (BNAP_LNC008735)". Lineage: Eukaryota; Viridiplantae; Streptophyta; Magnoliopsida; Brassicales; Brassicaceae. The record is from RNAcentral.
UAGGGGCCAUCACACGUUUGAUCCCUUUGGCAUCUUGGAUCAGAUGCCAAACACCUUUACAGCCUGUCCCAGCUGUAAAGCCGCGCCUCCUCUUAUCCAUAAACGGUCAUCUCCUUUCUUUGGCUGUGACCUUCCCUUUGCAUAAGUGUCUUUGGCCUUUCCCUCCUUCUUGUUGUUCAACCUCCUAUUUACCGUGGUAACUUCAGAUGGUACGGACAUGGUAACUCCGUACACUUCAACCUAAGUUUGCACCACUUCAGAAUGUGAAGAAAGGUCGAGACCCAAGUGAUCUUGGUUGAACUGAUCCGUACGGUUUGUACCGUCCGUACCAUUCUCCCAAUGCGUCUCUCACUUCAACCUGAGCUUCAUCUCCUCAUCCCUUUCAUUACCCAAGCCUCUCUAAGCCUUCAUAUCAACUCCUCAUC